Molecule: long non-coding RNA, 271 nt
Filed under: Elaeis guineensis (African oil palm)
Lineage: Eukaryota; Viridiplantae; Streptophyta; Magnoliopsida; Arecales; Arecaceae
Description: long non-coding RNA (EGUI_LNC005698)
Source: RNAcentral
GGUUUGAGGUCAGGCUAGGUAAGUGUCUCCUUUUUAGUAUUUGAUGUACAACCUAUGUCUGCCACCUCUGUGCCUAUUGAUCUUUAUCUUAUAUAUAAUAUGCCAUAUGAGAAAUAUUUCACUGCACUUGCGAGCACUUGACAACCUAAUCCUUACUUUAUUUGCCUGGUGGCCAUUCACUAGGGUUUGCUCCUUGGACAAGAGAACAAGAAAUGAGUAAGUUAAGGAUGGUGGUUCUUUGACUGUCCCGGAUCUCUAUUUGUCUUGCUAC